AUUGAACGCUGGCGGAAUGCUUUACACAUGCAAGUCGAACGGUAGAGGGGGCAACCCCUCGAGAGUGGCGAACGGGUGAGUAAUAUAUCGGAACGUGCCCAGUCGUGGGGGAUAACGUAGCGAAAGUUACGCUAAUACCGCAUACGAUCUAAGGAUGAAAGCGGGGGAUCGCAAGACCUCGCGCGAUUGGAGCGGCCGAUAUCAGAUUAGGUAGUUGGGGGGGUAAAGGCUCACCAAGCCAACGAUCUGUAGCUGGUCUGAGAGGACGACCAGCCACACUGGAACUGAGACACGGUCCAGACUCCUACGGGAGGCAGCAGUGGGGAAUUUUGGACAAUGGCCGCAAGUCUGAUCCAGCCAUUCCGCGUGCAGGAUGAAGGCCCUCGGGUUGUAAACUGCUUUUGUACGGAACGAAAAGGUCUCUCUUAAUACGGGGGGCUCAUGACGGUACCGUAAGAAUAAGCACCGGCUAACUACGUGCCAGCAGCCGCAGUAA
RNAcentral lists this ribosomal RNA (496 nucleotides) under uncultured bacterium. RNAcentral describes it as "partial 16S ribosomal RNA". It matches the Rfam family "Bacterial small subunit ribosomal RNA", at positions 30 to 523 of the family's 1533-position model. The record is from RNAcentral.